Long non-coding RNA from Varroa destructor (honeybee mite), 1150 nucleotides. RefSeq lists it as uncharacterized. The record is from RefSeq and is a predicted model, not a curated record. Lineage: Eukaryota; Metazoa; Arthropoda; Arachnida; Mesostigmata; Varroidae.
GUGAUAGUCUUCGAUAAAGUGCGCCUGCAGCGGCCUUGACUGAUAACCUAUCUUUCCAUUACUUACUGCAGCCGAAGAAAAGAAACGGAUAUGUUGGGCAACAUUUCUGAACGGCCGGAGGACGACGUCGGCGAUUUGGAUGGCGAUAGCAAGGAAGUUGUUGAAGUGCCGCUCAAAACGCUUAGGACAGCUGUCUGCGCUAAUAGCGAAGGCGGACUUAGGCGAAGACGCAACGAUAGGACCACCGACUGAAGGCCGCCUGAUGGAGAGAUAUUGUUUAUUGCAUCCGGCUAACUUGUUGCUGUUUGUGGGUCACCUGCGACGGUAUGGCGGUAUGACCGUAGAUGACAGAUUAACAGCAGAAAGAAACAACGAUAUCGUUACUGGGUAAGGCCGAAUUGCUUGAGAGUGUCAGAUCAGGUAGAAGAAGGACAGGAAGGAGAUCGUCCUUAUAGCAUUACGUCAUCAUGUGGAUUCCCAUACCAGUAGGAAGUGUGCCUUAAACACACAACCAGUCAGAAAGGGCCUUGACCAUUGUUUCUGCCGUUAAUUCUUCUGUGGCCUAGUAGUCUGAGUUUGGUUCUCGUGUAGAAUACAGGACUAAUCGUACAAUGACGACGAGAUGUACGAAAUAGUGUUCUUACGUGCUAUUCAAGUACUUUCUACCUGCUAAGAGAAUUGUAAAGCAAGUGGUCAGUUUAAUAUAUUGUAGGACACGAGAAAAAAGGACGAUUUUUCUAUCAUCAUAUGCUGGAGAAAACUGAUUUUUUUUAGGAAAAAAUCAUACCGCAUCACAAAGUGUCUGGCUAUUUGUCCAGGUCAGAGUAAUUAUAACGUGAAAAACUUCAUAAGAACGCUUAACGCUAUUUGAGAAUAGAUUGGCAGCUUAGCAAAUCCACUCUAAUUAUUACUUCCACAAUAUCGUGUAUUCCUCGCGUAGCUCGUGUAUUCCUUUUCUAUGCUUUAAGCCAUUAUCCUAUCUAAACAGUCGUAUCGUUUGAGUAAUUCCGUCAGUUUGUUUUAGUUAUUUAGUGAUCCUGACUUCAGAUACUUUACUAUCAUGCUCUAGCUUCCAUGUGUAUUUAUAGGACUUCGGAUUUUAAAAUCGUUUGUAAUAAUUAGAACCGUCGAGGCGACACGGAAAUAAGUA